This is a long non-coding RNA of Frieseomelitta varia, 512 nucleotides long. RefSeq lists it as uncharacterized. Lineage: Eukaryota; Metazoa; Arthropoda; Insecta; Hymenoptera; Apidae. The record is from RefSeq and is a predicted model, not a curated record. The transcript is spliced from 3 exons.
GCGCGCGUUCGCAGGCUCCCCGGCCGAUGGCAAACGGUAAUUGUUACGUAAGGGGGAACUCGCGAGCUGAAAACCGUGGCCAUGUGCUUCGCUCUCUCGCAUACGAGGGUCAGGACCCGAACGAACGAACGAACGAACGAACCAGAGUACACGAGGGGGGAAAACGCCGAGCGGUGCGCCCGUUCGAACGUCUAACUAGGCCGUUGAAGACGGCUAUAGUACCAUCUCAGUUAACCAUCCAACCUAUUCGCGUUCGAGUAGCAUAAGCCAGUCAGUCGCGCGUCCGUUGGUUAACUACAGCUCUACGAUCUGCAGGCUGUUCGAAAGAAGCAAGCUUCGCUGGCAAACUUCACAGGGGCGGGCGCGUGGUGCUCGUCAGAAAGCAACGGGAUGUAUGUAUCUCGCAACAACUGUGUCACACGGUUGUCAUCCAACAUCAUCUACAGUAGCGAAAAUUAAACACUGUUUCUACAGUUUUCUGCAUCGAAGGGAACACGUAGAUACCUGGAGUU